AACGCAAAUUGCGCUCGAGGCUUCGGCCAAGAGCAUGUCUGCCUCAGCGUCGGGUAAAAACUCGCUCACAGUUACACUGUGUGCGGACCUGACUGUCUCAUCACAAUCACUUGUGAUGGGUCAGUUGAAGUGUGCAGCUGUUGGUACAUGGACCCGCUAAUGGGCCUCUACUGGGUAGGCAAUCUUUGCUACAUGCUUUAGUAGAUGGCUUAGGAUCCUUGUGUGCUGACACAAAGCAGGAAUAUGCAUCCGUGCAUAUCAAAUCACUUUUCCUCGACCUGAGCUCAGGCAAGAUUACCCGCUGAACUUAA
This 311-nucleotide unclassified non-coding RNA is filed under the name uncultured fungus. Its description in RNAcentral is "partial contains 5.8S rRNA and ITS2". Lineage: Eukaryota; Fungi. The record is from RNAcentral.